UAGGUAUAGAUAUACACAGCAAUCCCUUUCAGAAUGAGUCUCUGCAGGCAGUUAUCCUAAAAACUGCAACUGUUAAUCAUUUUACAUCCGAUUUAAUUCGGAGCUUUAAGUUUUGAGUAUGAUCGUCACUACUGUGAAGCUUUUUGAUUUUCAGCAGCUCUUCAUGGUGUUUAGAUUUAUAAUGUACCAAAAGUAACCCUAAACUGUGACAUCUGUUCACGUGGAGCUGAACAAUCUACUUACAUUUUUGCCAAUUUUCAGAUUUUAGUCUUUCCCUCUGUCUUUGUUACAUUUUGAAGUCCAGCGGACCAGAGUUCUUUAGUUUCAGUUCCUUUCCUAUUGAGGCUGCAUGUUACUGGAGCUUUAAACUUUACUUAAAGUAUUUCAAACUAUUUGUUUUUGUCCUUUUUUAGUCUCCAAACUGCAGAGCCAACGCCUGCAGACGCCUUGAUUCUGUUAUAAUAAAGUCGGGGUAAGGAUCCGUUUUCCUGUCUUUAAACGAGUGCAGCUUAGAAAUGUCUCCUAGGAGAGACGCCAUGUUUUAACAAUAUCGCGUUGUAACGCCGACCUCAGACUUAACCCUGAACUGGACCUCGGGUCCACCACCGGGCUUCUGACUCCUCUGGCAAAGGCAGUCAGAGAAUAGCUGAACACAAUGCAUGUUGGGUAUUUUAUGGUAAGAAACUGUACGCCAGUGAUGGAGAGAAGGGGAACUCAGCAGGUGGAGUCGUCUGCUUUAGUGUACUUUUGUAAAGUUUCUUUUUAACUUAUGUUUUGAUUUUAUUGUUCUUGUUGGAGGUGGCAGCUCAACCCGGACCGUGUUCAGAGAAGCUAGUACUUGGAAAGUAUUUGUUACAGUAUUGCUCCAGCUCAGUUUGAAUAUUGACUUUGAAACCAGUAAGCAGAAAUAACUACGUCCCUCAUCAAGCUCGGUUUGCUUUUCUUUGUCAAUUUUUUUUGUAUUUGCUCAAAUUAUGAUAAGCGAGUUCAGUCCAGACCCGGACCCACUGUGUAUAUUACAUGUACGAUAUUAUACUAUAUGUAUAUAUUUAUGUACUAUACUGUAUGAGUACCUGUUUAAUUUCAGUUGUGGACUUUGUGCUUUUACCAACAAAAAAUCUGAUUCACAGAAAAUGUAAGAGAAAAGAGUGUUUCUUCUGUUCUUUUUCUUUGUUUUUGUUUAGAUGUAUAUGUCGAUAUGAAAGGGUUAAUGAAGGAAACUCCAGCACGGACUCACCGAGCUCUUUGACAUUCCCGAACACAAUAAACCGUCUCCUUCCCACC
Long non-coding RNA from Etheostoma cragini (Arkansas darter), 1284 nucleotides. RefSeq lists it as uncharacterized. NCBI's taxonomy places the organism in Eukaryota, Metazoa, Chordata, Actinopteri, Perciformes, Percidae. The record is from RefSeq and is a predicted model, not a curated record. The transcript is spliced from 2 exons.